AUGAACGCUGGCGGCGUGCCUCAUACAUGCAAGUCGAGCGAACAGACGAGGAGCUUGCUCCUCUGAUAUUAGCGGCGGACGGGUGAGUAACACGUGGAUAACCUACCUAUAAGACUGGGAUAACUUCGGGAAACCGGAGCUAAUACCGGAUAACAUGUUGAACCGCAUGGUUCAACAGUGAAAGACGGUCUUGCUGUCACUUAUAGAUGGAUCCGCGCCGCAUUAGCUAGUUGGUAAGGUAACGGCUUACCAAGGCAACGAUGCGUAGCCGACCUGAGAGGGUGAUCGGCCACACUGGAACUGAGACACGGUCCAGACUCCUACGGGAGGCAGCAGUAGGGAAUCUUCCGCAAUGGGCGAAAGCCUGACGGAGCAACGCCGCGUGAGUGAAGAAGGUCUUCGGAUCGUAAAACUCUGUUAUUAGGGAAGAACAAACGUGUAAGUAACUAUGCACGUCUUGACGGUACCUAAUCAGAAAGCCACGGCUAACUACGUG
This 496-nucleotide ribosomal RNA is filed under the name uncultured bacterium. Its description in RNAcentral is "partial 16S ribosomal RNA". It matches the Rfam family "Bacterial small subunit ribosomal RNA", at positions 29 to 507 of the family's 1533-position model. The record is from RNAcentral.